GAAAGACCUGCUAUCAGCCCACCCUGCUAGUUCAUGAUCGUGGUCUAGUUCUGGGGGUCCUGGUGGGUGGUGCACUAAACAAAAGCCAGCACCGUGCCCUGGUGGUAACGAAGGUAACAGCAUCCUGGGCUGCAUCAGCAGGAGCCUGGCCAGAAGACAGAGGCAAGCGAUUACGGCCCUUUACUUGGCACUUGUUAGAGCACAGUAGGAACAUUGUGUCCAGUUUUGGGCCCCCAGUACCGGAAAGAUGUCAGUAAACUGUUGGGAGCUCAGCAGAGGGCCACCAUGAGGACAGAUGGCUGGAGCACUUGUGCUGUGAGGAGAGGAGAGGAAGAAAAUGAACUUGCUCAGCUGGCAGAAGAGAAGAUUUUGAGGAAAGCUUUCCGGUACUUACAAGAAGCCGGGCCCUUUACUGAGGGGCAGAAGAAUGAGACCCAAUGGUCAUGAACUGAAAUUGGCAGUUCAGACUGGAUAUCAGGAGCUACUUCCGCCAGUCUUGCACUGCAAGUCUGCUGUCACUGUACCCUGCAGGCUUCAGUCUGCCCCGAGUAUUGGAAGGGCCAGACUUCUAGGAUGAUUUCACAUCGUGCCCUUCAGUUUGCACCAUCAGAGGGGAUGCGCACCUGAUACGGGGUUUGUGAUCUAGAAAGUUGUAGUGGUAGUAAAUAUCAAAGGCUGCAGGGAGGCCUGAUUGACAAUAACCUCUUUAUCUGUUACUUUCUGCAGUUGAAAUUGAUGCAGUCGGAGCUGAAUGUUGAAGAAGUGGUAAACGACAGAAGCUGGAAGGUAUUUAACGAGCGUUGCCGAAUUCACUACAAGCCUCCGAAGAGUCAAUAAUGUGGGGUAUUUUCCAUCAAGGUGGUCCAUAACCAUGAGAGCCAAACUGGAAAGAGACCUUGGGUGAGCUGUAUUGGGACCCUCCAGAACCAAUAGAACCCAGUCUUGUUUUGUUUUGGACCUACUUAGCUGAAAUCUCAAGGUUGAAAUGAUUCUCCUGUAAUUGAGAGAAAACCACUCGUCUUUUGUACAAAAUAUGUGAACAAAUGAGUUUUAUAGUAUUAAAAUAAUUUUCAAAUGGAA
Molecule: non-coding RNA, 1080 nt
Organism: Phalacrocorax carbo (great cormorant)
Lineage: Eukaryota; Metazoa; Chordata; Aves; Suliformes; Phalacrocoracidae
Source: RefSeq, a predicted model, not a curated record